CUACGGGGUGCUCCAGUUAGGAAUAAUCUACAAUGCGCGAAAGCGUGAUAGUUUGAGCCAGAGUGUUUUUCAAUUGAAAGACUUUUGUGAAAUGUAAAAAGUUUCACGACUAAGGACUGGGUAAGACUAGUGCCAGCCGCCGCGGUAAUACUAGCGGUCCAAGUCGCAACCAUUUUUAUUGGGUCUAAAACAUCCGUAGCCUGCUUGACAAGUCUUCUGUGAAAUUUUACGUCUAAAACGUAGAGCGCGCAGAAGGUACUAUCAAGCUAGAGACCGGAAGACGUAAGAAGUACAUUCAGAGUAGCGGUUACAUGUGUUAAUCCUGGAUGGACUAACAAGAGCGAAGGCAUCUUACGAGGACGGUUCUGACAGUAAGGGAUGAAAGCUAGGGGCGCAAAUGGGAUUAGAUACCCUAGUAGUC
Molecule: ribosomal RNA, 421 nt
Filed under: uncultured archaeon
Lineage: Archaea
Description: partial 16S ribosomal RNA
Rfam family: Archaeal small subunit ribosomal RNA
Source: RNAcentral